CUCUAACCCUAAUUCCGUCGCCGUCGCCACCUUAGCCGCCGCCGUCGUGUUCUCCGUCAUAGACACCACAUCCAACUAAGCAUCCCUACUGCUCGCGAUUCACCAGUCGUCCGCCUCCGUCGUUCGUCUGCUGCCGUCGCCCGUCGUCGUCAGCAAACGCGCUCCGCCGAUCGCAAAGCAUCAUUGCCUCGUUCUAUCGUCAAUCGCCGGAGAUUGCCACAACCUGAGCCGCGCUGUGCGUCGCCGCAAGACUGAGCACCCUCCACUCCCGACCCACACGCGCGCCUGCCCCGAGCUGUCGACCUGCACCAUCCUCUCUGCCCCGAGCCACCCACGUGAAGAUCGAGCCGUGCGUGCCUGCCCCUAGCCAGUCGUGCCUUCUCCUGAGCCGUGUGCCCACCUUGGCCGAGCCGCCAGCAGAUUCCUUUCCUCCAACCAAGCCAUUUAAGUUGCUAAGCUUCUUUUAACCCUAUUUUGACCCAUUUUUGAUUUAACUUGAAACCGAGCGUGGAAUUUGUCCAAUUAAGUUUAAUUCGAGUUCGGCCUUGAUUUUUGGGAUCCUCCCUUGAGAAGCUUGAUCGUGACGGUUAGGAAAAUCUUGAUUUAACUAAUCUCCAGG
Cucumis melo (muskmelon) is the source of this 619-nucleotide long non-coding RNA. RefSeq lists it as uncharacterized. NCBI's taxonomy places the organism in Eukaryota, Viridiplantae, Streptophyta, Magnoliopsida, Cucurbitales, Cucurbitaceae. The transcript has 3 exons. The record is from RefSeq and is a predicted model, not a curated record.